Molecule: ribosomal RNA, 447 nt
Filed under: uncultured bacterium
Lineage: Bacteria
Description: partial 16S ribosomal RNA
Rfam family: Bacterial small subunit ribosomal RNA
Source: RNAcentral
GGCGAACGCUGGCGGCAGGCUUAACACAUGCAAGUCGAACGCCCCGCAAGGGGAGUGGCAGACGGGUGAGUAACACGUGGGAACGUACCCUUUGGUUCGGAAUAACUUGGGGAAACUCAAGCUAAUACCGGAUAAGCCCUUAUGGGGAAAGGUUUACUGCCGAAGGAUCGGCCCGCGUCUGAUUAGCUAGUUGGUGAGGUAAUGGCUCACCAAGGCGACGAUCAGUAGCUGGUCUGAGAGGAUGAUCAGCCACACUGGGACUGAGACACGGCCCAGACUCCUACGGGAGGCAGCAGUAGGGAAUAUUGGACAAUGGGGGCAACCUUGAUCCAGCCAUGCCGCGUGAGUGAUGAAGGCCUUAGGGUUGUAAAGCUCUUUUACCCGGGACGAUAAUGACUGUACCGGGAGAAUAAGCCCCGGCUAACUUCGUGCCAGCCGCCGCAGUAA